Molecule: ribosomal RNA, 1344 nt
Filed under: uncultured bacterium
Lineage: Bacteria
Description: 16S ribosomal RNA
Rfam family: Bacterial small subunit ribosomal RNA
Source: RNAcentral
GACGAACGCUGGCGGCGUGCUUAACACAUGCAAGUCGAACGGAAAGGCCCUGCUUUUGUGGGGUGCUCGAGUGGCGAACGGGUGAGUAACACGUGAGUAACCUGCCCUUGACUUUGGGAUUACUUCAGGAAACUGGGGCUAAUACCGGAUAGGAGCUCCUGCUGCAUGGUGGGGGUUGGAAAGUUUCGGCGGUUGGGGAUGGACUCGCGGCUUAUCAGCUUGUUGGUGGGGUAGUGGCUUACCAAGGCUUUGACGGGUAGCCGGCCUGAGAGGGUGACCGGCCACAUUGGGACUGAGAUACGGCCCAGACUCCUACGGGAGGCAGCAGUGGGGAAUAUUGCACAAUGGGCGGAAGCCUGAUGCAGCAACGCCGCGUGCGGGAUGACGGCCUUCGGGUUGUAAACCGCUUUCGCCUGUGACGAAGCGUGAGUGACGGUAAUGGGUAAAGAAGCACCGGCUAACUACGUGCCAGCAGCCGCGGUGAUACGUAGGGUGCGAGCGUUGUCCGGAUUUAUUGGGCGUAAAGGGCUCGUAGGUGGUUGAUCGCGUCGGAAGUGUAAUCUUGGGGCUUAACCCCUGAGCGUGCUUUCGAUACGGGUUGACUUGAGGAAGGUAGGGGAGAAUGGAAUUCCUGGUGGAGCGGUGGAAUGCGCAGAUAUCAGGAGGAACACCAGUGGCGAAGGCGGUUCUCUGGGCCUUUCCUGACGCUGAGGAGCGAAAGCGUGGGGAGCGAACAGGCUUAGAUACCCUGGUAGUCCACGCUGUAAACGGUGGGUACUAGGUGUGGGGUCCAUUCCACGGGUUCCGUGCCGUAGCUAACGCUUUAAGUACCCCGCCUGGGGAGUACGGCCGCAAGGCUAAAACUCAAAGGAAUUGACGGGGCCCCGCACAAGCGGCGGAGCAUGCGGAUUAAUUCGAUGCAACGCGUAGAACCUUACCUGGGUUUGACAUGGAUCGGGAGUGCUCAGAGAUGGGUGUGCCUCUUUUGGGGUCGGUUCACAGGUGGUGCAUGGCUGUCGUCAGCUCGUGUCGUGAGAUGUUGGGUUAAGUCCCGCAACGAGCGCAACCCUUGUUCACUGUUGCCAGCACGUUAUGGUGGGGACUCAGUGGAGACCGCCGGGGUCAACUCGGAGGAAGGUGGGGAUGACGUCAAGUCAUCAUGCCCCUUAUGUCCAGGGCUUCACGCAUGCUACAAUGGCUGGUACAGAGAGUGGCGAGCCUGUGAGGGUGAGCGAAUCUCGGAAAGCCGGUCUCAGUUCGGAUUGGGGUCUGCAACUCGACCUCAUGAAGUCGGAGUCGCUAGUAAUCGCAGAUCAGCAACGCUGCGGUGAAUACGUUCCCGGG